GGGUUGUGAGGUUAAGCGACUAAGCGUACACGGUGGAUGCCCUGGCAGUCAGAGGCGAUGAAGGACGUGCUAAUCUGCGAUAAGCGUCGGUAAGGUGAUAUGAACCGUUAUAACCGGCGAUUUCCGAAUGGGGAAACCCAGUGUGAUUCGUCACACUAUCAUUAACUGAAUCCAUAGGUUAAUGAGGCGAACCGGGGGAACUGAAACAUCUAAGUACCCCGAGGAAAAGAAAUCAACCGAGAUUCCCCCAGUAGCGGCGAGCGAACGGGGAGCAGCCCAGAGCCUGAAUCAGUGUGUGUGUUAGUGGAAGCGUCUGGAAAGGCGUGCGAUACAGGGUGACAGCCCCGUACACAAAAAUGCACAUAUUGUGAGCUCGAUGAGUAGGGCGGGACACGUGGUAUCCUGUCUGAAUAUGGGGGGACCAUCCUCCAAGGCUAAAUACUCCUGACUGACCGAUAGUGAACCAGUACCGUGAGGGAAAGGCGAAAAGAACCCCGGCGAGGGGAGUGAAAAAGAACCUGAAACCGUGUACGUACAAGCAGUGGGAGCCUCUUUUAUGGGGUGACUGCGUACCUUUUGUAUAAUGGGUCAGCGACUUAUAUUCUGUAGCAAGGUUAACCGAAUAGGGGAGCCGAAGGGAAACCGAGUCUUAACUGGGCGUUAAGUUGCAGGGUAUAGACCCGAAACCCGGUGAUCUAGCCAUGGGCAGGUUGAAGGUUGGGUAACACUAACUGGAGGACCGAACCGACUAAUGUUGAAAAAUUAGCGGAUGACUUGUGGCUGGGGGUGAAAGGCCAAUCAAACCGGGAGAUAGCUGGUUCUCCCCGAAAGCUAUUUAGGUAGCGCCUCGUGAAUUCAUCUCCGGGGGUAGAGCACUGUUUCGGCAAGGGGGUCAUCCCGACUUACCAACCCGAUGCAAACUGCGAAUACCGGAGAAUGUUAUCACGGGAGACACACGGCGGGUGCUAACGUCCGUCGUGAAGAGGGAAACAACCCAGACCGCCAGCUAAGGUCCCAAAGUCAUGGUUAAGUGGGAAACGAUGUGGGAAGGCCCAGACAGCCAGGAUGUUGGCUUAGAAGCAGCCAUCAUUUAAAGAAAGCGUAAUAGCUCACUGGUCGAGUCGGCCUGCGCGGAAGAUGUAACGGGGCUAAACCAUGCACCGAAGCUGCGGCAGCGACGCUUAUGCGUUGUUGGGUAGGGGAGCGUUCUGUAAGCCUGUGAAGGUGUGCUGUGAGGCAUGCUGGAGGUAUCAGAAGUGCGAAUGCUGACAUAAGUAACGAUAAAGCGGGUGAAAAGCCCGCUCGCCGGAAGACCAAGGGUUCCUGUCCAACGUUAAUCGGGGCAGGGUGAGUCGACCCCUAAGGCGAGGCCGAAAGGCGUAGUCGAUGGGAAACAGGUUAAUAUUCCUGUACUUGGUGUUACUGCGAAGGGGGGACGGAGAAGGCUAUGUUGGCCGGGCGACGGUUGUCCCGGUUUAAGCGUGUAGGCUGGUUUUCCAGGCAAAUCCGGAAAAUCAAGGCUGAGGCGUGAUGACGAGGCACUACGGUGCUGAAGCAACAAAUGCCCUGCUUCCAGGAAAAGCCUCUAAGCAUCAGGUAACAUCAAAUCGUACCCCAAACCGACACAGGUGGUCAGGUAGAGAAUACCAAGGCGCUUGAGAGAACUCGGGUGAAGGAACUAGGCAAAAUGGUGCCGUAACUUCGGGAGAAGGCACGCUGAUAUGUAGGUGAAGUCCCUUGCGGAUGGAGCUGAAAUCAGUCGAAGAUACCAGCUGGCUGCAACUGUUUAUUAAAAACACAGCACUGUGCAAACACGAAAGUGGACGUAUACGGUGUGACGCCUGCCCGGUGCCGGAAGGUUAAUUGAUGGGGUCAGCGCAAGCGAAGCUCUUGAUCGAAGCCCCGGUAAACGGCGGCCGUAACUAUAACGGUCCUAAGGUAGCGAAAUUCCUUGUCGGGUAAGUUCCGACCUGCACGAAUGGCGUAAUGAUGGCCAGGCUGUCUCCACCCGAGACUCAGUGAAAUUGAACUCGCUGUGAAGAUGCAGUGUACCCGCGGCAAGACGGAAAGACCCCGUGAACCUUUACUAUAGCUUGACACUGAACAUUGAGCCUUGAUGUGUAGGAUAGGUGGGAGGCUUUGAAGUGUGGACGCCAGUCUGCAUGGAGCCGACCUUGAAAUACCACCCUUUAAUGUUUGAUGUUCUAACGUGGACCCGUGAUCCGGGUUGCGGACAGUGUCUGGUGGGUAGUUUGACUGGGGCGGUCUCCUCCUAAAGAGUAACGGAGGAGCACGAAGGUUGGCUAAUCCUGGUCGGACAUCAGGAGGUUAGUGCAAUGGCAUAAGCCAGCUUGACUGCGAGCGUGACGGCGCGAGCAGGUGCGAAAGCAGGUCAUAGUGAUCCGGUGGUUCUGAAUGGAAGGGCCAUCGCUCAACGGAUAAAAGGUACUCCGGGGAUAACAGGCUGAUACCGCCCAAGAGUUCAUAUCGACGGCGGUGUUUGGCACCUCGAUGUCGGCUCAUCACAUCCUGGGGCUGAAGUAGGUCCCAAGGGUAUGGCUGUUCGCCAUUUAAAGUGGUACGCGAGCUGGGUUUAGAACGUCGUGAGACAGUUCGGUCCCUAUCUGCCGUGGGCGCUGGAGAACUGAGGGGGGCUGCUCCUAGUACGAGAGGACCGGAGUGGACGCAUCACUGGUGUUCGGGUUGUCAUGCCAAUGGCACUGCCCGGUAGCUAAAUGCGGAAGAGAUAAGUGCUGAAAGCAUCUAAGCACGAAACUUGCCCCGAGAUGAGUUCUCCCUGACCCUUUAAGGGUCCUGAAGGAACGUUGAAGACGACGACGUUGAUAGGCCGGGUGUGUAAGCGCAGCGAUGCGUUGAGCUAACCGGUACUAAUGAACCGUGAGGCUUAACCUUACAACGCCGAAGGUGUUU
Molecule: ribosomal RNA, 2931 nt
Filed under: Escherichia coli
Lineage: Bacteria; Pseudomonadati; Pseudomonadota; Gammaproteobacteria; Enterobacterales; Enterobacteriaceae
Description: 23S ribosomal RNA
Rfam family: Bacterial large subunit ribosomal RNA
Source: RNAcentral